This is a long non-coding RNA of Cucurbita moschata (crookneck pumpkin), 260 nucleotides long. RefSeq lists it as uncharacterized. The record is from RefSeq and is a predicted model, not a curated record. Lineage: Eukaryota; Viridiplantae; Streptophyta; Magnoliopsida; Cucurbitales; Cucurbitaceae. The transcript has 3 exons.
GAACUGUGGGCUAGGUAUUCCAGCUGCCAAGGAUCUAAAAAUUGGAAUUACAUGCAUGGGGGAACUGAAUUCUGAGCUUGAAAAGGAAGAGCACAUCAUGGGAAAAAUUAAUGGUAUCUAUAACCAAUGUUGGCUUUGAUCUAUUUUAUCCUCAACUGCUUGGGAUACUAUUGUUGAUCCAGUACUGUAUUCUGAACUGCCAGGAGACUCGUGGAGAUUGGGUUGUCUGCGAGCAGUGAAGUUGAUAAGGCCACAAAUAA